This 1873-nucleotide long non-coding RNA is filed under the name Homo sapiens (human). RNAcentral's name for it is "HSALNT0240133". The record is from RNAcentral. Lineage: Eukaryota; Metazoa; Chordata; Mammalia; Primates; Hominidae.
UGGUUUUCUCCUUGGUGUGUGAGUUUGUUUGGUGCUCUCCCUUUCUCCUUCGCCAUUUGAAUAGUGAUGUCAUUAUUCCAACGUCCUCUCACCUCUACUGAAAAAGGCCUACCAGUGACUCUCUCCUGGGUACUCAGCAACACUCUGGAGGGAAGUUGUGGUUUCAGCAAGGUGCAAGCAUCAUGAAACCGAGAGAGAACUGGCAGGGUGGAGAACUCACCCAAAGGAAGUCUUCCCUGACUGCUCUCCCUCAGCGGGCUGUAACUGUGUUCACUGGCCUCUAGUCCAGGAGCGCCUCAAGGCCAGGGCUGGGAUAUCACUCUUCUCUGGAUCCUCAGCCUGUAGCUGCCUGACUCAUGGAACCAUUUGAGGUAGGCCCCCAAGUUACAGAUGGGGAAACUGAGGCCCAGAGAGGUUAAAAUACUUGUGCAGAAUCACACAGCUGGCUGAUGACAGAAGCACGACGCAAACUGAGGCCUCCCAAGACUUUCUGCACCAGGACCAGCCAGCCAUGCUGUUACCUACUCAUUCAACAAACAGCUGUGGAGUAUUGACUCUAACGUCAGUCCCUGCCUGGGCCCCUGAGAGACAGUCAUCAGGGAGAUCAUCUAUGAAGACACAAUAAUGGAAAUAGAUUCCAUCUCAGGAAAGCACUUUCUUUGUUCAUCUAUGAGAAGACAUUCUUUCAAGUUUGACCAUGAGAUUGCAGCAAUUCAGUCACAUCUUCAGGCUCCACUUCUAAUUCUAGCUCUCUUGCUACUGGCCACCACAUCUGCAGCCUCCAUCAAAGUCUUGAAUCUCUCAGUCAUCCAUGAAGGACAGAAUCAACUUCUUUUCAAAUUCCCGUUCAUGUUGAUAUUUUGACCUCCUCCCAUAAAACACAAAUGUUCUUAAUGGUACCUAGAAUGGUGAAUUCUUUCCAGAAAGUUUUCAAUGUACUUUGCCCAGAUCCAUCAGAGGAAUCACCCUCUAUAUAGCAGCCAUAGCCUUUCAAAAUGUAUUUCUUAAAUAAUAAGACUUUUAUAUCAAAUUGUCUCCUGGAUCCACGGACUGCAGGAUGGAUGUUGUGUUAGCAGGCACGAAAAGAACAUUUUCUUAUACAUCUUCAUCAGAGCUCCUAGGUGACUAUGUGCAUUGUCAAAGGGUUACUAAUUGGCCUACAUUCAAUAUUGCUGUGUCUUAAGGAAUAGGGAGGCCUGAGGAGAGUAGAGAGAGAUGAGGGAACAGCCAGCUAGUACAGCAGUCAGAACACUUACAACAUUUAUUAACUUCACCUCAUAGUAAUAUCAAAGGUCACUGAUCAUACAUAACCAUAACAGAUAUAAUAAUGAAAAUGUGUGAAAUAUUAUGAGAAUUUUAAAAAGGGACAAAGAGCCACUAAGUGAGCACAUGCUGUUGGAAAAAUGAAACUGAUAGACUUGCUUACUCCAGGGUUGCCACAAACCUUCAAUUUGGUAAAAAAAAAAAAAAAACCAUGCAAUUCCUGUCAAGUACAAUAAAUAGGAGCCCAAUAAAAUGAGAUAUGCUUAAGAAAAAAAAGAUAUGCUUAUACAUCUUACUACAAUUAAGUACAGUCUAGCAAGAUAAAGAUAGUAAGCCCUACAACAACCACUAAGAAAAUAACCCAAGAAAAAUCGUUUUAAAAAUCAUAAAGAAGGCCAGGCCAGUGAGCCAAACACCUGUACUUCCCAGCACUUUGGGAGACUGAAGCAGGAGGAUAGCUUGAGCCCAGGAGUUUGACACCAGCCUGGGCAACAUAACCCGUCACUGCAAACAAGAAAAAACUUAGGCAUGAUGGCAUGUUGUUGCGGGAAUUCAGGGACCCCGAACGGAGGGACCGGCUGAAGCCAUGGCAGAAGAACAUAAAUUGUGA